GACGAACGCUGGCUGCGUGCUUAACACAUGCAAGUCGAACGGAAAGGCCCUGCUUUUGUGGGGUGCUCGAGUGGCGAACGGGUGAGUAACACGUGAGUAACCUGCCCUUGCCUUUGGGAUAACUUCAGGAAACUGGGGCUCAUACCGGAUAGGAGCUCCUUCUGCAUGGUGGGGGUUGGAAAGUUUCGGCGGUUGGGGAUGGACUCGCGGCUUAUCAGCUUGUUGGUGGGGUAGUGGCUUACCAAGGCUUUGACGGGUAGCCGGCCUGAGAGGGUGACCGGCCACAUUGGGACUGAGAUACGGCCCAGACUACUACGGGGGGCAGCAGUGGGGAAUAAUGCACAAUGGGCGGAAGCCUGAUGCAGCAACGCCGCGUGAGGGAUGACGGCCUUCGGGUUGGAAACCGCUUUCGCCUGUGACGAAGCGUGAGUGAAGGUAAUGGGUAAAGAAGCACCGGCUAACUACGUG
Molecule: ribosomal RNA, 468 nt
Filed under: uncultured bacterium
Lineage: Bacteria
Description: partial 16S ribosomal RNA
Rfam family: Bacterial small subunit ribosomal RNA
Source: RNAcentral